GAGAGGUGGCAGAGUGGUUGAAUGCACCGGUCUUGAAAACCGGCAAGGGUUCAUAGCCCUUCGUGGGUUCAAAUCCCACCCUCUCC
RNAcentral lists this transfer RNA (86 nucleotides) under marine eukaryotic metagenome. It matches the Rfam family "tRNA". From Rfam's summary of the family: Transfer RNA (tRNA) molecules are approximately 80 nucleotides in length. Their secondary structure includes four short double-helical elements and three loops (D, anti-codon, and T loops). Further hydrogen bonds mediate the characteristic L-shaped molecular structure. tRNAs have two regions of fundamental functional importance: the anti-codon, which is responsible for specific mRNA codon recognition, and the 3' end, to which the tRNAs corresponding amino acid is attached (by aminoacyl-tRNA synthetases). tRNAs cope with the degeneracy of the genetic code in two manners: having more than one tRNA (with a specific anti-codon) for a particular amino acid; and 'wobble' base-pairing, i.e. permitting non-standard base-pairing at the 3rd anti-codon position. The record is from RNAcentral.